GCUCCUGCUGGGUUAGGUGGGCUUAUUUCAGAGUACUAGCCAUUUCAUUUAGCUGCUUAAAAGGGGACCUGAGCUCUUCUGACAAUAUAGGUGAUCCCUAUUCAAACAGCACCUUUUUGACUUUCUAGUCUUUUGUAACUCCCCCACUGCAGGGCUCCCUUUUUCUAGGAGCUUUUCUUCCUCAGUUUGCUUUUCUAGGGCUGGCUUUUUACAUGUGGGAGAGCUGCCUAGCAGGUGCUGGUUUAUAACUGACUGUGGUCUCCAUCUCUUCAGCUGGACUUCUCCCUUUGCAAACUCCAACAACAUCAGAGCUGCUCUGCGCACCUUAGUGCAGACAAAGGAUUUGGCUAUUAUUGAGUCUCAUCCCUGUGCUAUGCUUGUGAAGUCAACAGGAUUCCUGCUGUUGGCACCGCUGGGCGCAGCCUGCAGCCUUUCAGAGUGGGAGUUUCAAGGGACCGUGAGAGGGUUGUGCCAGCGGGGUGUGGAAGUCCCUYGAAGCGCUUGGAGAUCCCGGCCUGCCGGUGGAAAACGCGCUGCGGACUUGGUUGCGCACCGAAACCCRCAGCGCUGCACUGACGAGAGGCGUUUCUCAGUCUGCUGCCGGCGAGGCUUUUGGUUGUGCGG
This 624-nucleotide long non-coding RNA is filed under the name Dromaius novaehollandiae (emu). Its description in RNAcentral is "lncRNA (ENSDNVG00000008533.1)". Lineage: Eukaryota; Metazoa; Chordata; Aves; Casuariiformes; Dromaiidae. The record is from RNAcentral.